CCGAGUUAUCAACUCCCAAACCCCUGUGAACAUACCUUUUGUUGCCUCGGCGGGAUCGCCCCGGCGCCUCCGGGCCCGGAUCCAGGCGCCCGCCGCAGGACCCAAACUCUUGUUUUCUAUAUGAAUCUUCUGAGUGACACAAGCAAAUAAAUUA
RNAcentral lists this unclassified non-coding RNA (154 nucleotides) under soil metagenome. Its description in RNAcentral is "partial internal transcribed spacer 1". The record is from RNAcentral.